RNAcentral lists this long non-coding RNA (384 nucleotides) under Homo sapiens (human). Its description in RNAcentral is "HSALNT0015936". The record is from RNAcentral. Lineage: Eukaryota; Metazoa; Chordata; Mammalia; Primates; Hominidae.
GACCCCUUCCCUUUCUCUGCCCCGUCUGUGUCUUCCUCCCCAGGUUCUGCGAUUGAUCCUUUGGUAGUCCUUUUCGUUUUCUUCCUAGAGUUCGGAGAAUGUUCUACCUAACUUACUCCAAGUGACAUGCUCACUCCCCUAGGCACGCGCGCCGCGAGGAUGGAGCGCUGAGCCUGGGGCUGGCUAGGAUGACCUGGACAGCAACCUUUCCUCAACGCAGUCAUCUUCCCUCCUCCCCAAAUGUAAAAAUGCAGCUGCUUUAAGCUGAGAGAAAUAACGUAUCAGCUUCCCACCUCCGGCCUCAGCAGACACCUCCGAGGCGUUCUGCUGCGGCCCCUCAGCGUCUGCCGGAGCUGAGGCGGAUCCUCGGGGAGAAGGCUGACG